AUAUAUACGUAUCAUGACACACGCGAUAUUUGAAGUGAAAUAUGUUUUCCAGAGUAAAAUAACGAGAUUAAUGAUACAUCCGAUGUUUCUGAAUCCAUCCCACUUGUGCAUGCGUGUGACAUAAA
Pogonomyrmex barbatus (red harvester ant) is the source of this 125-nucleotide long non-coding RNA. The record is from RefSeq and is a predicted model, not a curated record. NCBI's taxonomy places the organism in Eukaryota, Metazoa, Arthropoda, Insecta, Hymenoptera, Formicidae.